GUGUAUCAUCAUCAGCACAUAUGUUAAAAUUGGAAUGAGGCAGAGUAAAUGUGCAUGGCUUCUGUAGGAAAAUGAUGAACACAUCUGUGAAGCAUUUAGUUUUUUU
This is a small nuclear RNA of Hemicordylus capensis (graceful crag lizard), 106 nucleotides long. NCBI's taxonomy places the organism in Eukaryota, Metazoa, Chordata, Lepidosauria, Squamata, Cordylidae. The record is from RefSeq and is a predicted model, not a curated record.